Molecule: long non-coding RNA, 1787 nt
Organism: Hipposideros armiger (great roundleaf bat)
Lineage: Eukaryota; Metazoa; Chordata; Mammalia; Chiroptera; Hipposideridae
Exons: 4
Source: RefSeq, a predicted model, not a curated record
UCUAUUGAUGUAAUUUUUCCUCUUCCUUUUCUCAUAAAUAUCCAUUGUCUUUGUCUCCUAAUUAGAACACUAUUUGGGCUUUUGCCUGAAUCAAUGUUUUCCGAACAGCUAUGCUUUUGAUCUCAAAUAAAUGCCUGUUGCCUCUUACUUCAGCCUUUUAUAUUUAGGUUAACAAUACAAUGGAAUGUUAUUCAGCCAUAAAAAGGAAUGAAAUACUUAUUCAUGCUACAACAUGGAAGAACCUUGAAAACGUUUUGCUAAAGGUGACAUGCUGAGCCUGACAGGAGGAAGGCGUGCUCUGAUUGGGGUCAUAUGUCAAUCAGGGGGCGUGGCUAGCUGCCCUGAACGGGAAGACAGAGCAGUUCCCCAAGACCAAGGACUUGAAGGUUGGCAGGCUGCCUUCACUCUGCACUGGAGCUCAGCGUAGUCGCUAGGAUUGAAAAUGAACACAGCUCUGCUCAGAUGAAGAAACUGAGGCUGAGGAAGAGACUUGCUCCAUCACACAGUACUAAGCCCUGCAAAUAUGCAAAGAAUGGCAGGAAUGUCACACACCUGUGCGUGCUGUUGUCAGAGAGACCAGGCCUACAGAGAGACAGAGCAGUUGCUCAGGCACACAUAGGUGGGGUGGGCAUGGGGCGAGGGCCCUGGUGGCUUCCCUGUGAGGUGGCGGGAAGCCAGCAGAAAAUGGGAGGAAAAGUACUACAAAAAGCGCUAACUGGGGUAACUGAGCCAGGCAGGGCAGGAGCAGGGACAAACAUGGGGACAGGACCAUCCCUGCAGCAGGCAUCUGAAAUACGUGGGCGGACACCCUGGGCAGUGCGCGAGUGAUUUAGACCUGACAUUAGCUGAAGCUGAGGACUCUCCCAGACAGCGUUCAGUCAUGAAAGGAGCAGUGUCCCAGAGAGAAGUUCCCACCAGAGGCAAAGCAGAGGGGGCAGAAGCCGUGAUCACCCAAGUAAAGGAACAGCAGGCAGAGGUGACAUCACCAGCUCAGGACUGGCCUGCCAGGUGAUACCAGCACCGGGGGAUACCCACCCUGAGGGAUAGCAGGGGCCCUCCGCUCCUCUGAUCUCAGCCUCUCGCCAGGGCUGCUGGCAAGGGAACCAAGAAGCUCAGCGUGCAGUCUCAGCCAGGAGCACAGAGGAAGGUUUGAAAGCCACAUCUGGGUUCUGGGUAUCUCUCCACGCCUGACUGGCACUUGGUAACUUUAUCAGACAGAAGGACUUUAUGUAGGCAACCAUUUGUUGCUAAAACAUAUUAUUUUUACUUUUAUUGUAUUAUUUUUGCAGUAGCCUUCUAUUUAUGACAAGCGAUACUGGUCAUCCACUUAUGAUAGUGCCAUCAAGUUUCCCUGUUAAAUAAUUGCUUCAACUUAAAAAGGGGAGAAUGUAUUUAGAGGAAAAUUUGAUAUAGAUGGGAGGACCCACAGCGGCCCAGGGAGUGAAAGAGGUGAGACAAAGGGCCAACAGAAGCAGCAGGACACCUGCGCUUAUGACAGGAGAGGGCAGGGUGGAGGCUGGCCUGGCCAGGCGCUCCGGGAAGCACAGGGCCUGCUCCCUGGAAAAUGGACCCUGAAUCCAGCCAAGUUUCUAGAUCCAGUAUUCCAGCCACUUGGGGCAAAGGAUCGAGUCAAUGCCACCCCACGCCCACACUGCAUCAGUCUUAAGGACAAAGGACCUACUUCUCUGAGCUGAAAAGGCUUUAAAACAGAAGGGCGUGUAGACAGAAAAGGGGCCACAUAUUAAACCUGACAAGCUCAGGAGACUGAAAAUAACCACAUAGAAUGG